RNAcentral lists this ribosomal RNA (491 nucleotides) under uncultured bacterium. RNAcentral describes it as "partial 16S ribosomal RNA". It matches the Rfam family "Bacterial small subunit ribosomal RNA", at positions 28 to 507 of the family's 1533-position model. The record is from RNAcentral.
GAUGAACGCUGUCUACAGGCUUAACACAUGCAAGUCGAGGGGAAACGACGGGGAAGCUUGCUUCCCCGGGCGUCGACCGGCGCACGGGUGAGUAACGCGUAUCCAACCUGCCUCUGACUGAGGGAUAACCCGUCGAAAGUCGGCCUAAUACCUCAUGGCAUCGUCUGCGGGCAUCCAACGACGAUUAAAGAUUUCAUCGGUCAGGGAUGGGGAUGCGUCUGAUUAGCUUGUUGGCGGGGUAACGGCCCACCAAGGCUACGAUCAGUAGGGGUUCUGAGAGGAAGGUCCCCCACAUUGGAACUGAGACACGGUCCAAACGCCUACGGGAGGCAGCAGUGAGGAAUAUUGGUCAAUGGGCGGGAGCCUGAACCAGCCAAGUAGCGUGCAGGAUGACGGCCCUAUGGGUUGUAAACUGCUUUUAUGCGGGGAUAAAGUGAGGGACGUGUCCUUCAUUGCAGGUACCGCAUGAAUAAGGACCGGCUAAUUCCGUG